This 465-nucleotide ribosomal RNA is filed under the name uncultured bacterium. Its description in RNAcentral is "partial 16S ribosomal RNA". It matches the Rfam family "Bacterial small subunit ribosomal RNA", at positions 338 to 795 of the family's 1533-position model. The record is from RNAcentral.
CCUACGGGAGGCUGCAGUAGGGAAUCUUCCACAAUGGACGAAAGUCUGAUGGAGCAACGCCGCGUGAGUGAAGAAGGGUUUCGGCUCGUAAAGCUCUGUUGGUAGUGAAGAACGAUAGAGGUAGUAACUGGCCAUUAUUUGACGGUAAUUACUUAGAAAGUCAAGGCUAACUACGUGCCAGCAGCCGCGGUAAUACGUAGGUGGCAAGCGUUGUCCGGAUUUAUUGGGGGUAAAGCGAGUGCAGGCGGUUCAAUAAGUCUGAUGUGAAAGCCUUCGGCUCAACCGGAGAAUUGCAUCAGAAACUGUUGGACUUGAGUGGAGAAGAGGAGAGUGGAACUCAAGGUGUAGCGGUGGAAUGCGUAGAUAUAUGGAAGAACACCAGUGGCGAAGGCGGCUCUCUGGUCUGCAACUGACGCUGAGGCUCGAAAGCAUGGGUAGCGAACAGGAUUAGAUACCCCAGUAGUC